Cannabis sativa is the source of this 64-nucleotide small nucleolar RNA. RefSeq annotates it as small nucleolar RNA Z105. The record is from RefSeq and is a predicted model, not a curated record. The transcript has a single exon. Lineage: Eukaryota; Viridiplantae; Streptophyta; Magnoliopsida; Rosales; Cannabaceae.
CAGGCAUAAUGAUGAAAUGUUUUUCUGAUUACUUUGAUGAACACAAACCUCCUACUCAUUCUGA